RNAcentral lists this long non-coding RNA (1524 nucleotides) under Sus scrofa (pig). RNAcentral describes it as "lncRNA (ENSSSCG00025027339.1, ENSSSCG00055030895.1, ENSSSCG00065058387.1)". Lineage: Eukaryota; Metazoa; Chordata; Mammalia; Artiodactyla; Suidae. The record is from RNAcentral.
UUUUUUCUUUCUUUUUUUUUUUGUCUUUUCAUUUUAGGGCCACGCCCACAGCAUAUGGAGGUUCCCAGGCCAGGGGUCUAAUUGGAGCUAUAGCUACUGGCCUCCACCAGAGCCACAGCCACACGGGAUCCAAGCCACGUCUGCCACCUACACCACAGCUCAUGGCACCGCCGGAUCCUCAACCCACUGAGUGAAGCCAGGGAUCAAACCCACGUCCUCGUGGAUGCUAGUCGGGUUUGCUAACUGCUGAGCCACAGCGGGAGCUCCUCCUAUUUGUGUUUUAUGUUAUCUAUUAUUUUAAUUUGUUUCUGAGGGUAGUCAGAUUUUCUUCUACCUGCGAUGUUGCAUUUAUAUAAAAGCAGAAGGAUUCAUUUAACACAGCACAGAGUCCCCCUUGCUGGGCAGUAAGGCCAUCCAGCCCUCGUCCGUUCUGUAACACCACUGUGCCAAGGAGUCGAGUCCUUGUUGUUGGGCUUCUAUGGCCACUACAGUGGCCUUCCACGAUUCUUGAGGCAUUAUAGUCACGUUAAGCACAGAUCUUUCUAACAGGGGUUUUCCAGCAAACCGAAAUCAUCCUCUAAAGAUGGAACAUCAGAGUUCCCGUCGUGGCUCAGUGGUUGACGAAUCCGAUGCGGAACCAGGAGGUUGCAGCUUCGAUCCCGGGCCUCGCUCAGUGGGUUAAGGAUCCGGCGUUGCCGUGAGCUGUGGUGUAGGUUGCAGACGCGACUCAGAACCCACAUGGCUGUGGCUGUGGCUGUGGCUGUGGCGUAGGCCAGCAGUUACAGCUCCGAAUGGACCCCAGCCUGGGAACCUCCAUACGCUGCGGGUGCAGCCCUAAAAGAUAGAAAGACAAAAAACCCAAAAAACCAAUGCUUCCUGAGGCCACCAUUUGUGUUGGACUUUUAAGUUGUAACUCUGGCAGGGCGAAAACUAUGCUGCAUCUUCCCCUCCACCUGCGGGGUAAGCUCUCCUACAGCCUGUUCCCGCAGAGGAGACAGAAUCCCGUUCCCUUUAAGACACCCCGGUUGUGGACCCUCGCACCCGUGCUCUUGAAUGUGAUAUGAGCACAUCUCUUGGGUGGAUGAACGGGUCCCAAGGUUCAUCCCACUUUAGGCUCUGUGGCCUUCACCCUGAGACGUACUUGUCUACACAGAGUGGGCUGUACUGGGGAUCCAUCUGCUUGUGUGCAUGGAGGAGGUUUUGGCAAACCGGAUUCCGGAAUAUGAGCUGUGUGACCGCGUGGUGUUGGGCGUGGUCUGUAUCACUUGCGCUUGGGGGUCGGAGGGACCCUGUUUGUCGGCCGGCGCCGUGACCUCCUGGCUGGUCCCUGUCUUUGCACUGCCUGGGGCCGGAAAGCCUCGUCCGGCCGUUUGGUUGCAUUCUGGGUGCUGCCGCCCCGCGUGAACUGGCACCUUCGCCUUCGCCAUCUCUCCCCUGGUAACAGACAUCGUGCCGCCAUCUCCAUUCCAAGACGCCCACCCGGGUUCGCUGUAGAAACUGCCGUUUUCGGAAGCCUCCCUUCCC